Molecule: ribosomal RNA, 469 nt
Filed under: uncultured bacterium
Lineage: Bacteria
Description: partial 16S ribosomal RNA
Rfam family: Bacterial small subunit ribosomal RNA
Source: RNAcentral
GAUGAACGCUGGCGGCGUGCUUAACACGUGCAAGUCGAACGAUGAAGCUGGAGCUUGCUCUGGUGGAUUAGUGGCGAACGGGUGAGUAACACGUGAGCAACCUGCCCCUGACUCUGGGAUAACAGCCGGAAACGGCUGCUAAUACCGGAUAUGCACCAUGAACGCAUGUUCUGUGGUGGGAAAGAUUUUUCGGUUGGGGAUGGGCUCGCGGCCUAUCAGCUUGUUGGUGAGGUAAUGGCUCACCAAGGCGUCGACGGGUAGCCGGCCUGAGAGGGUGACCGGCCACACUGGGACUGAGACACGGCCCAGACUCCUACGGGAGGCAGCAGUGGGGAAUAUUGCACAAUGGGCGAAAGCCUGAUGCAGCAACGCCGCGUGAGGGAUGACGGCCUUCGGGUUGUAAACCUCUUUUAGCAGGGAAGAAGCGAGAGUGACGGUACCUGCAGAAAAAGCGCCGGCUAACUACGUG